GUGGGGAAUAUUGCGCAAUGGGCGGAAGCCUGACGCAGCGACGCCGCGUGGGGGAUGACGGCCUUCGGGUUGUAAACCUCUUUCGGCCCCGACGAAGCGUGAGUGACGGUAGGGGUAGAAGAAGCACCGGCCAACUACGUGCCAGCAGCCGCGGUAAUACGUAGGGUGCGAGCGUUGUCCGGAAUUAUUGGGCGUAAAGAGCUCGUAGGCGGUGUGUCGCGUCGGCCGUGAAAACCUGCAGCUUAACUGUGGGCUUGCGGUCGAUACGGGCAUCACUGGAGUUCGGCAGGGGAGACUGGAAUUCCUGGUGUAGCGGUGAAAUGCGCAGAUAUCAGGAGGAACACCGGUGGCGAAGGCGGGUCUCUGGGCCGAUACUGACGCUGAGGAGCGAAAGCGUGGGGAGCGAACAGGAUUAGAUACCCUUGUAGUCC
Molecule: ribosomal RNA, 431 nt
Filed under: uncultured bacterium
Lineage: Bacteria
Description: bacterial SSU rRNA
Rfam family: Bacterial small subunit ribosomal RNA
Source: RNAcentral